Molecule: ribosomal RNA, 468 nt
Filed under: uncultured bacterium
Lineage: Bacteria
Description: partial 16S ribosomal RNA
Rfam family: Bacterial small subunit ribosomal RNA
Source: RNAcentral
GACGAACGCUGGCGGCGUGCUUAACACAUGCAAGUCGAACGGAAAGGCCCUGCUUUUGUGGGGUGCGCGAGUGGCGAACGGGUGAGUAACACGUGAGUAACCUGCCCUUGACUGUGGGAUAACUUCAUGAAACUGGGUCUAAUACCGGAUAGGAGCUCCUGCUGCAUGGUGGGGGUUGGAAAGUUUCGGCGGUUGGGGGUGGACUCGCGGCUUAUCGGCUUGUUGGUGUGGUAGUGGAUUACCAAGGCUUUGACGGGUAGCAGGGCUGGGAGGGUGACCGGCCCCAUUGGGACUGGGCUACGGCCCAGCCUCCUACGGGAGGGAGCGGUGGAGAAGAUUGCACUAUGGGCGGAAGCCUGAUGCAGCAACGCCGCGUGCGGGAUGACGGCAUUCGGGUUGUAAACCGCUUUCGCCUGUGACGAAGCGUGAGUGACGGUAACGGGUAAAGAAGCACCGGCUAACUACGUG